Molecule: long non-coding RNA, 1499 nt
Organism: Nyctereutes procyonoides (raccoon dog)
Lineage: Eukaryota; Metazoa; Chordata; Mammalia; Carnivora; Canidae
Exons: 3
Source: RefSeq, a predicted model, not a curated record
UUGUCUUUAGGAACAACGGGAAGCCCUUGGAAUGCUGUAGGCUGGGGAGAGGCGGGUUCACAUGUGCACCCUGGCCCGGACAGAAAAGGAAUUACAGAGGAACCAGAACGGCUGCAGGUGGACAAGCUGCAAUGGGCAAGGAAGGCGGAGAGGGAGGCAGACACACGGCCUGGAAACCCGCCAGAAGGAGGAAGCCAAGGAUCUCCACCCAUGAGCAGUACCUGGAGGCCAGUGCAGCCCCCCGGGGGUGCUAGGCCAUGAUCUGUGGGGUGGUCUGCUGUGCUGGGGAGCACAGGGACUGAGGACUCUCUGGGCUGCGCUCCCCAAGGAUGCAGGCAAGGCUCACAGAAUUAAGGAGCGGGGCAGGGAGAUGACCUCACCCAACGCUCUUAUCCCACAGCUCUGGACACCAAGGCCUGGUGCAGGACGCGCAAGCCGACCGCCCCAGAAAGCUCGAAACCUCCAGAGGCGGGGUCGAGGGAGCGGUGUGCAUGCGGGGGAGGGGAGGGAGAGGAGGCUUCCGGGCCCCCUGCCCAGGGGUGGUUCCUGUCCUGGGGGCGGGGGGGGGGGGGGAGUUGAAGCGGACCCAGCCCACCGACCCUAGUCACGGGGAGGAGAGCACGUGGGGCUCCCUCCUUUCACGGGGCAGGGCCGGGGCGGGGAGGGGGGUCCCACGGCCGCCUCCUGCCCGAGCACUAGCUCCAGGCUGCGGGAGCGCUGCGGACAGGCGGGCGGAGCCCCGCGGCGGCUCUCAGCUCUGUUUCGGGCGGACCCGUGUCCUCCCCGAGCGGGCCCCGGGGACGCGGCCAAGCCCACGAGCGGCUUCCAGGCCGUCAGCAGCUCUCCUUCGGGGACUUCUUGGCCCCGGGGAGGAGCCUCGAGGUGGCCGACGUGCGCUUCUGGUGUCGCCACUUGGCCCGGCGGUUCUUGAACCAGACCUGAGGAGCAGGACGGGCGACUCAGGCCCAGCCCGGGCCCCGGGCCCCGCCCCCACCCCGACCCCCACCCCGACCCCGACCCGGACCCCGACCCGCGCGGGGGCGCCUCCCGAGGGGCGUGGCGGCGGGGGCUGCGCUGGCUGCGCGGGCUGCGGGUCCCCCCCCUCCGCGGCCCCGCAGCUCGCUGCUCCUCCCGGCUUCCUCCACGAGCCGCAGGAGCCCAUGUAUCCGCGAAAGUAAGAAAGUUUAAACCGAAGGAAAACCAGCCUUACCUGCCGUCCAGGUCCAGCGCCCCCUUCCCGCGCCCCCGCCCCCGCCGUCUAUCCGAGGAGUGGGGGGAGGGGAGGGAGGCGCGCGGGCCUGUCGCGCCCGUCCGCCCGUCCGUCCGCCCGUCCGUCCGUCGGUCCGCGGGCACCCACCUCCACGCGCUCCUCGCGCAGGCGGAUGCGGCCGGCCAGGCGCUCGCGGGUGCCCACGUCGGGGUACUGGUUCUGCACGAAGAGCGCCUCCAGCGCCUGCAGCUGCUCCUCGCUGAAGAUGGUGCGGUGGCGCCGCGUGCGC